This 494-nucleotide ribosomal RNA is filed under the name uncultured bacterium. RNAcentral's name for it is "partial 16S ribosomal RNA". It matches the Rfam family "Bacterial small subunit ribosomal RNA", at positions 28 to 507 of the family's 1533-position model. The record is from RNAcentral.
GACGAACGCUGGCGGCGUGCUUAACACAUGCAAGUCGAACGGUGAAGCGCCUUCCUUUUUGGUGGGUGUGGAUGAGUGGCGAACGGGUGAGUAACACGUGAGUAACCUGCCCCCUUCUUCUGGAUAACCGCAUGAAAGUGUGGCUAAUACGGGAUAUUCUGGGUCUGUCGCAUGAUGGGUCUGGGAAAGAUAUUGUUUCGGUGGGGGAUGGGCUCGCGGCCUAUCAGCUUGUUGGUGGGGUGAUGGCCUACCAAGGCGGUGACGGGUAGCCGGCCUGAGAGGGUGGACGGUCACACUGGGACUGAGGCACGGCCCAGACUCCUACGGGAGGCAGCAGUGGGGAAUAUUGCACAAUGGGCACAAGCCUGAUGCAGCGACGCCGCGUGAGGGAUGGAGGCCUUCGGGUUGUGAACCUCUUUCGCCAGUGAAGCAGGCCUGCCUCGUUUGUGGGUGGGUUGACGGUAGCUGGAUAAGAAGCGCCGGCUAACUACGUG